GGUUCAUUCAAAUUUCUGCCCUAUCAACUUUCGACGGCUGGGUCUUGGCCAGCCGUGUGACAACGGGUAACGGAGGGUUAGGGCUCGACCCCGGAGAAGGAGCCUGAGAAACUGCUACUACAUCCAAGGAAGGCAGCAGGCGCGCAAAUUACCCAAUCCCGACCGGGAAGGUAAGGACAAUAAAUACUGAUACAGGGCUCUUUCGGGCCUUGUAAUUGGAAUGAGUACAAUUUAAAUCCCUUAACGAGGAACAAUUGGAGGGCAAGUCUGGUGCCAGCAGCCGGGGUAAUUCCAGCUCCAAUAGCGUAUAUUAAAGUUGUUGAGGUUAAAAAGCUCGUAGUUG
This 343-nucleotide ribosomal RNA is filed under the name uncultured fungus. Its description in RNAcentral is "SSU rRNA". It matches the Rfam family "Eukaryotic small subunit ribosomal RNA", at positions 292 to 636 of the family's 1831-position model. The record is from RNAcentral. Lineage: Eukaryota; Fungi.